GUGUGACAUGUUUUUCCCAUUGUGGUCCCUCACCAAUUGUGAAUGGUACACGUACCUGUCAUUUCCUGAAUUAAGACUGAGACCAACACAUGGAUUCUUCAUCUCUUUCCCUCUAAUGACCUAAAUAGCAAGACAAACAAAAGCUGGCUUUUGAAAUCAAUGAGGAAACUGCAGCUCUUCAGCAUUUUUUUUACCACCAAAGGAUUUCCACAUUGCAAAUUUGGCAUAGCUGACACAAGAGGAAAUGCCUUCUCUGAACUCUCGCAUCAUCCUGGGAAAGUUUCUCGACUCGUUUCAGACCAGCUGGUAAAUCCUGCCCUAGGAAAGAGAACUGGCCAAUGGCGGAACCACUCAAGAGAUCACUGACCCCGAAGGUGCAUACAAGUAGAAAGGUUCUGACUGUGCUGUCAAACUUGGUGUAUGAUGGGUUUCCCUUCCCGC
Acanthaster planci (crown-of-thorns starfish) is the source of this 441-nucleotide long non-coding RNA. RefSeq lists it as uncharacterized. The record is from RefSeq and is a predicted model, not a curated record. Lineage: Eukaryota; Metazoa; Echinodermata; Asteroidea; Valvatida; Acanthasteridae.